GCUUUAUUUUUAAAAAGUGGAGUCCCAGUUUUAAUGAAUCAGAGUUAUAAAUCAGAAAUUCUGUAAACCAAUUCCAUAAGAAGAAAGGAUCCAGUAAUUAAACCGAUUCUAUUUAAUGACAUCUUUGUCGCAUAGGUGGUCUCUAAUGCUGACAACAGAUUUCUUAGAAAUGCUGCUCUCUCUAUUUAACUAACAUUUUGUUCAGUUUUGCCUCCAGUGGAAGCAGAAAGGGUUUUUUCAGCUGUUAAAUCCCCCAGCAGAGCCUGGGUUUUCUUUGCUGUCGUUGUUGUUGUUUUGUAUGGAAAGGCUGCUUUCCCCAGGUUCCACUUAGAACCUCCAGUAGGUCACAGGGUUCAGUAUGGAUUUGAUUUAACAACCCACCAGCAUGCUAAAAAUCCCUUGUUAUAUCUUAUCGAACCUG
Molecule: long non-coding RNA, 421 nt
Filed under: Bos taurus (domestic cattle)
Lineage: Eukaryota; Metazoa; Chordata; Mammalia; Artiodactyla; Bovidae
Description: long non-coding RNA NONBTAT005703
Source: RNAcentral